UCGAGUCAGUCCUGUGCUGGCAAACAAGCGAAUACAGGAGAACAAACUGCUUCGAACCAUCUCGUGAAGAAAGUUCCAAACGUGCGCUACAGCGGAUGAAUCACUCGCGGUUUUGUCUACUCCGGAGUUGAACGAGAUUUUGCGAUGAAAAAUUACCCUCUCAGGGGAGACUGCGGUGCGGAAUACCUCAUAACUAAGUGCAGCAAUAAAAGGCUUUACCGAGACACCGUGAUUGACUUCCACCAAAAAGAAGACUUGAGCCUGGGAACUUCGCAAAUUCUGGUUUAAUUAAUGGAAAUUCGUACAGCUAAUUUAAACUGCGCCAAGUUGGUUAAGUAAAAGUUCAAGUCUCUGCGGAGGAGAACAUCCUGGAUGAAAUUUAUAAACAAAUUAUUUGAGUACGAAGAUGCCUCUAAUGAUUGAGCAGUCCCAAAUGGAUAUCGAAUUUCACAAUCAAGGUCACUCAUCUGAUACCCCGUCAAGCAAUGUAUCAAAUGAUAAUCGGGCCGGCUUUAUUUGAAGAAAGGCCACGGCUUGACAAGUUUUUGAAAUUCUUAAGCUGACUUUACGUCCCUUCGAAUACUUGAUCGUAAGGAAUUCGUUGGUUGCCGUCACUUGUCAUUGUAAUUAUGACGCGGAUUGAUUUCGAUGAACGAUUUUCUCUUCGUUGCUGACGAAGAAAUAUAAGGAAACUUCGAACAGACGAUUCGAGAGCGCGAGAAAUAGGAAAUCGGAGGAUGGAAGGAGUUUCACGAAAGUAAUGAGAGUGCAGCUCUUAGCACGUCCAUUUCACGUGAAAAUGGAUUUUCCAAGUUCAAUUGUUCCCUCGCUACUCGAGCUUGCUCAACGUAAAAAACUUGCCACUCUGUAGAACAAAAUUAGCACCGGGAUAAACGAAUUAUACACGGACUUCGGAUCUGUCUCUUUAUUGGGCUCGAGUUGUUCCAGCGACAGUCUAUAAAGUGUAGUGAAAAAAUGGUCUCUGAUGAUGCGAGGGAAAAAAAUUAUUGGUUCAUUAGACAAAAGCGAAAUGGAUAAAUACUAGGUUUUUUCGGUAAGCGGGGGUUCAA
This is a long non-coding RNA of Neodiprion virginianus, 1070 nucleotides long. RefSeq lists it as uncharacterized. NCBI's taxonomy places the organism in Eukaryota, Metazoa, Arthropoda, Insecta, Hymenoptera, Diprionidae. The transcript is spliced from 3 exons. The record is from RefSeq and is a predicted model, not a curated record.